This 354-nucleotide ribosomal RNA is filed under the name uncultured bacterium. RNAcentral describes it as "bacterial SSU rRNA". It matches the Rfam family "Bacterial small subunit ribosomal RNA", at positions 28 to 381 of the family's 1533-position model. The record is from RNAcentral.
GACGAACGCUGGCGGCGUGCUUAACACAUGCAAGUCGAGCGGUAAGGCCCUUUCGGGGGUACACGAGCGGCGAACGGGUGAGUAACACGUGGGUGACCUGCCCUCAGCUCUGGGAUAAGCCUGGGAAACCGGGUCUAAUACUGGAUAUGACUCCAUGACGCAUGUUGUGGGGUGGAAAGCCUUGUGCGGCUGAGGAUGGGCCCGCGGCCUAUCAGCUUGUUGGUGGGGUGANGGCCUACCAAGGCGACGACGGGUAGCCGGCCUGAGAGGGCGACCGGCCACACUGGGACUGAGACACGGCCCAGACUCCUACGGGAGGCAGCAGUGGGGAAUCUUGCGCAAUGGGGCGAAAAG